This 21-nucleotide non-coding RNA is filed under the name Arabidopsis thaliana (thale cress). Lineage: Eukaryota; Viridiplantae; Streptophyta; Magnoliopsida; Brassicales; Brassicaceae. The record is from RNAcentral.
GGCUCUCUCGGGAGCUUUCCC